Molecule: ribosomal RNA, 882 nt
Filed under: Penicillium glabrum
Lineage: Eukaryota; Fungi; Ascomycota; Eurotiomycetes; Eurotiales; Aspergillaceae
Also listed under: 1 other name
Description: LSU rRNA
Rfam family: Eukaryotic large subunit ribosomal RNA
Source: RNAcentral
AGCAUAUCAAUUAAGCGGAGGAAAAGAAACCAACAGGGAUUGCCUCAGUAACGGCGAGUGAAGCGGCAAGAGCUCAAAUUUGAAAGCUGGCUCCUUCGGGGUCCGCAUUGUAAUUUGCAGAGGAUGUUUCGGGAGCAGCCCCCAUCUAAGUGUCCUGGAACGGACCGUCAUAGAGGGUGAGAAUCCCGUAUGGGAUGGGGUGUCUGCGCCCAUGUGAAACUCCUUCGACGAGUCGAGUUGUUUGGGAAUGCAGCUCUAAAUGGGUGGUAAAUUUCAUCUAAAGCUAAAUAUUGGCCGGAGACCGAUAGCGCACAAGUAGAGUGAUCGAAAGAUGAAAAGCACUUUGAAAAGAGAGUUAAAAAGCACGUGAAAUUGUUGAAAGGGAAGCGCUUGCGAUCAGACUCGCCUUGGGGGUUCAGCCGGCAUUCGUGCCGGUGUACUUCCCCCAGGGCGGGCCAGCGUCGGUUUGGGUGGCCGGUCAAAGGCCCUUGGAAUGUAACGCCUCUCGGGGCGUCUUAUAGCCAAGGGUGCCAUGCGGCCUACCUGGACCGAGGAACGCGCUUCGGCUCGGACGCUGGCAUAAUGGUCGUAAGCGACCCGUCUUGAAACACGGACCAAGGAGUCUAACAUCUACGCGAGUGUUCGGGUGUCAAACCCGUGCGCGCAGUGAAAGCGAACGGAGGUGGGAACCCUUUGGGUGCACCAUCGACCGAUCCUGAUGUCUUCGGAUGGAUUUGAGUAAGAGCGUAGCUGUUGGGACCCGAAAGAUGGUGAACUAUGCCUGAAUAGGGCGAAGCCAGAGGAAACUCUGGUGGAGGCUCGCAGCGGUUCUGACGUGCAAAUCGAUCGUCGAAUUUGGGUAUAGGGCGAAAGACUAAUCGA